AAUAAACUAAUUUCUCACUUUUUAUAUUUAAUUUUUGACGUUUCAUCUUAUUCAAAAAAAUUUUGCGAUUAAUAUUUUUGUUUUUAUUAGAUGAUAUACUUUACGUGUGACUAAUUUUUUUCUAAUUUUCUGAAAAAUUUUCAAAUAAGACGGAUGGUCAAACGUUGGACACGGAAACCGAAGAAUUUAUU
Molecule: microRNA precursor, 191 nt
Filed under: Oryza brachyantha (malo sina)
Lineage: Eukaryota; Viridiplantae; Streptophyta; Magnoliopsida; Poales; Poaceae
Description: MIR812 microRNA precursor family
Rfam family: MIR812 microRNA precursor family
Source: Rfam by way of RNAcentral